This 279-nucleotide ribosomal RNA is filed under the name uncultured bacterium. RNAcentral describes it as "partial 16S ribosomal RNA". It matches the Rfam family "Bacterial small subunit ribosomal RNA", at positions 506 to 784 of the family's 1533-position model. The record is from RNAcentral.
UGCCAGCAGCCGCGGUAAUACGGAGGGUGCAAACGUUGCUCGGAAUCAUUGGGCGUAAAGCGCGUGUAGGCGGUCAUUUAAGUCAAGUGUGAAAUCCCUGAGCUUAACUCAGGAACUGCGCUUGAUACUGGAUGACUAGAAUACAGGAGAGGAUAGCGGAAUUCCCGGUGUAGAGGUGAAAUUCGUAGAUAUCGGGAGGAACACCAGUGGCGAAGGCGGCUAUCUGGACUGAUAUUGACGCUGAGACGCGAAAGCGUGGGGAGCAAACAGGAUUAGAUA